This 57-nucleotide transfer RNA is filed under the name Pteropus alecto (black flying fox). It matches the Rfam family "tRNA", at positions 8 to 63 of the family's 71-position model. From Rfam's summary of the family: Transfer RNA (tRNA) molecules are approximately 80 nucleotides in length. Their secondary structure includes four short double-helical elements and three loops (D, anti-codon, and T loops). Further hydrogen bonds mediate the characteristic L-shaped molecular structure. tRNAs have two regions of fundamental functional importance: the anti-codon, which is responsible for specific mRNA codon recognition, and the 3' end, to which the tRNAs corresponding amino acid is attached (by aminoacyl-tRNA synthetases). tRNAs cope with the degeneracy of the genetic code in two manners: having more than one tRNA (with a specific anti-codon) for a particular amino acid; and 'wobble' base-pairing, i.e. permitting non-standard base-pairing at the 3rd anti-codon position. The record is from Rfam by way of RNAcentral. Lineage: Eukaryota; Metazoa; Chordata; Mammalia; Chiroptera; Pteropodidae.
UAGUGUAGCAGUUAGCACAUCUGCUUUAUAUGCAGAAGGUCCUGGGUUUGUGCCCAG